Molecule: ribosomal RNA, 331 nt
Filed under: uncultured eukaryote
Lineage: Eukaryota
Description: partial 18S ribosomal RNA
Rfam family: Eukaryotic small subunit ribosomal RNA
Source: RNAcentral
CCCUUAGAUGUUCUGGGCCGCACACGCGCUACACUGGCAGGUUCAUCGAGCUUCAUGCCCUGAUCUGAGAAGAACGGGAAAUCUUUGAACACCUGCCGUGCUUGGGAUAGAUGUUUGCAAUUAUUCAUCUUCAACGAGGAUUGCCUUGUAAGCGCACGUCAUCAGCAUGCAUUGAAUACGACCCUGUAUUCUGUACACACCGCCCGUCGCUCCUACCGAUUGAAGUUUUCGGUGAAUUUACUGGAGAUCCCUUUUGAAGGUGGUUCGCCACUGGAAGAAGUAUUCAAAAGUAAAUGAAUCGAAUGCUUUAGAGGAAGGAGAAGUCGUAACA